This 253-nucleotide ribosomal RNA is filed under the name uncultured bacterium. RNAcentral describes it as "partial 16S ribosomal RNA". It matches the Rfam family "Bacterial small subunit ribosomal RNA", at positions 524 to 776 of the family's 1533-position model. The record is from RNAcentral.
UACAGAGGUCCCAAGCGUUGUUCGGAUUCAUUGGGCGUAAAGGGUGCGUAGGUGGCGCUGUAAGUCGGGUGUGAAAUUUCGGAGCUUAACUCCGAAACUGCAUUCGAUACUGCGGUGCUUGAGGACUGGAGAGGAGACUGGAAUUCAUGGUGUAGCAGUGAAAUGCGUAGAGAUCAUGAGGAACACCGGUGGCGAAGGCGGGUCUCUGGGCUGACACUGACGCUCAUGCACGAAAGCGUGGGGAGCAAACAGG